AAGCCUAUUCACCAGAGAUUUAAAAAAAAAGAGAGAGUUAGCGCCGCUGUUACUCGUCGGAGGCUCUGAUCGUCCUCGUCGGUUUGUGCCCAGUCCCCAUCAGGCCGCCACUACCAUUUUCUCGGUCCUCGUCCUUCGCUACCGCUGCUACUGACUUGGUCACCAAGGAUGGGGAAGAUGUCGAUGGGGCUUGAACUUGAGAAGUC
This 206-nucleotide long non-coding RNA is filed under the name Elaeis guineensis (African oil palm). RNAcentral describes it as "long non-coding RNA (EGUI_LNC006318)". Lineage: Eukaryota; Viridiplantae; Streptophyta; Magnoliopsida; Arecales; Arecaceae. The record is from RNAcentral.